AUGCGUCUGGCAUCGGCGUCGCAGAAAACAUCAUAUGCGCCCAUUGUGAUUUGUUGGCCUGAAGUACCCGUUGAGUUAUUCGUGCAAAAGCCAGCAUAUGUGACAUUCACACAUAAUAAAUCGCACUAGUAAUGGCGGUGUUUGAUUGAUAUAUGGCACCAUGGCGAGGUUUAUGCAUAUGUGUCACUCUGCGGUUUAGAGCGAUUAGUAUACGUUCGUUUUAAGUACCGGAUUUGUACUCGACGUCGGCGCGUUAAUCGUCAUCACAGACGUUCUUCUUUUGUUUGAAUGGAUUAGAACGUUCUAUUUCGCUCGUUGGUGCGAGAAUGUAAUUAAAACUGCAUCUUGCGUGCCUUAUAAAAGGAAAGAUUAUUGCACAGAGUUCACUCGUUGUAUUUGUAGUAGGACUGUUGCAGUGACCCUUUCCGCCACACCCCUUGUGGGUGCAGAUCAGGCAUUAUGCGUAUUAGCGUAGUCAUUCUAUGUUAACUCGAUAAAGCAGACAAAGAAUCAAUGGAGAACAUGGUGUUGAGAUUCAUCAGAAAACAACUCAAAUUCUGUUUCAAUCAUCACAAAUCUCUGACUGAUAGGACAAGUAGACGCGGAACGGCGAUAAUGUCUUGAAGUAUGAGAGGUCGAUAGCAGUUCAGAAUUGAAAAACCAGAUCGCACCACGUCAUCGUGAUAAUUUUUAAGUAAAUUAUAAAUGGCGGCCAAGAUAGCAAAGAAAUCGGAAUUUCGGCACCAUGCUUGAUGGUUAGUGACGAAUCAAUUAAAGCAAGCAGAAAAUCACGACACGUAGAUGGCAGUUGACUUAUGAUGACUGACAUAAACGUACCAGAUUACUCGGAGAUUGUUUUUGGUUGGUCGGUUCAUCAUCAAAUAAGGAACAGUAAAUUUUGCAAUCAGUAAUCACUUUCAAUCCAAUAUUGUUGGCACACACAAGAAGGCAGGUUUUGCGAAUCCAGCUCUAAAUGUAUGUAACAAAAUUUAUUACUGACCUCGUGGGGAUGCGGAUUGUUUCGUCUAUUGCCAGAGGAAGUCCCAGAACGUAUAGGUUCAUUUUUCGUGGCUUUUUUCCAUCCAAAUUCUUGGGUGCAAGUUGUGCCACCAAUUGGACCAGAUAACUCAUAUGGUGCUGUGAAUCCCUUGCUGGACAUAGGACGUUUGGCCUCGGCGCACAGGCCACUGGAAUAUCCGGGGAAUUCUCUCUCGUGUGUGGUCAAAUAUGGAUGGUCAUAUCUUUUUCCACCUGUAAAUUUAUUAUAUCGAGUAGUAUUUAGUAUAUUAAUUCAAAUGUUUAACAUAUUUAGUUCGUAACUGUCUAGUAUUUUCAACCUGUCAGUAUUAAAAACUCAGCAUUUCGAUUCUAAAACUGACAGGUGGAUUAAACAAAGAAUUUAAUCAUUUAUAUAGAAGUCUUUGAACAUAGCCACAGUUAUAAUAUAUUUUUCAAAAUCUGUUCCAGUGAUAUAAAUUAUAGGAGUCGUUCGAAAUAGGCAUAAUUAACAUUUUGGUUUAUACAUGUAGAAAGUAUCUCACCGAUAGCUGCCAUGGCAGAUUUUGGUCUAUGGUCACUAUGUUGCUGAUUAUUUGCUAAAUUUGUUGUCUUUGGUCGUGAUAAUCUAUGGAUCGAUUCCUUUUGUUUCUGAUAACUUGAUUUUUCCUUUAGGUCGUUUUUUAAAUUUGGUUCCUCAUCAGUUUUAGAAAAUUCCCUAAGUGAUUUCUUUUCUUGAAAUGCUGACUUGGGUCGGCCAACGUGGGUCGCAAAGCCUACUCUAUUUGCUGGCACUUUUGCAGAUGAUGGUCUUUUUGAAGUCACCCGCUCACCGCCUGUUGCAGAUCCGCAGGUUGGCUGAAAGCUCGCUUUGGCUUUAUUGACCUCUUCUCCCUUCAGUUCGAUUUGAGCCAAAAGUCGAAGACAAUGCUCUUUAUCCUUCGGGUUUACUGUACGUUUGUAAAACCACUUGAGGGUAUCUGAAAACUGAGGCUGUACGUUUCCUCCAGUUUCUCCGUGGAGCUGAAAUUGAAAUUUGUGAUAUUGUUCACCCAUUGUGACGUCACAGACUUAAAUGUCAAUCAUGUUUUAACAAACUGAAUAAUCUCAGCGAUACGAGUUGAAAAAAUAAAACCACAAAAAAAGAGAUAAAACUGGUGGGAUUUGUUCCAAAUUUUAAACCACGCAAAACGAAAUAAUCUUCGAUACUGAAUGUCGUAGAAUAAACAAUGGACAAAUCCCAUCCGAAAUAUUUUUUUUAAUUACAAGAAACGCCAAUUCAUAAUUCGAAUAUGUUGUUACAAGUAACGCAUUUUUUGAAGUAAAUAAGCCAUCAAUGUCAAUUGAUAGUACAAGUUACUUACCUUUGGGGCGCCAUAUUCCCAUGCCUUUAUGGGUUCGGGCUCGCCCCAAACGCCCCAAGCUGUUUCAGGUACUCCAGGCAUGUGUACAGUUGUAAAGUUUUUUUUUAAUUUUGCUGUAUAUUCAUAAAUGAAUUUUCAAUACAUACACCGCCUCAUCAUAAUUAAAUGAUCGUGCUGCAUAACCGAAAACUACCUCAAUAUAUUAUGUCUAGCCUAAUGUGAUUAUUUUUAAUAAAUGAAAAGUUAUGCGG
Long non-coding RNA from Styela clava, 2611 nucleotides. RefSeq lists it as uncharacterized. The record is from RefSeq and is a predicted model, not a curated record. NCBI's taxonomy places the organism in Eukaryota, Metazoa, Chordata, Ascidiacea, Stolidobranchia, Styelidae.